Molecule: long non-coding RNA, 624 nt
Filed under: Brassica napus (rape)
Lineage: Eukaryota; Viridiplantae; Streptophyta; Magnoliopsida; Brassicales; Brassicaceae
Description: long non-coding RNA (BNAP_LNC024134)
Source: RNAcentral
AUUGUUGGACCAUUAAACCGCCACCAAGUUUCCUGCGAUCAUUAAACGCCAAAAGAUCAAGUCAAAAGAAUUAGUCAUCAGUCUCCUAUUAUCUCGGCAACUUGAGAGCUAAAGAAGAAGUCAAAGCUGAGAAAAAGGAGGCACGUGUAACAACUAAACAACAGAUAAAGAGCUCUAUAAAAAGACAAGAGAGCUAUCUUCUCAAGAAGGGGGGGGGGGGGGACUAAAGGGGCCUCUCGAGGGAAAGAACAAGAAAUAGAACCACAUUCCAUUAUUCCAUUGUAUAGAAAAGACAAGACUUAUAACCACUUGAGAGAAGAGCCAGAAGAAGACAAGAUGCUUUCUCUACGCUUACUUCAUAAAGCAACUACAACCUCGUAUCGAUUGAAAUCCAUAAUCAUUUACACAGCAAAAGCGAUCCUUGACCAUGUUAGUGGCGCGAGCUCGUAUUCAUAUACGAUGCCAUUCACAAAGGUCCGACUUUUAGAGCUUAUGAGGGCUUACGACCAGGAAUACAAUUAUUCAUCACCUUCAUUGCGCUUAAAGAGGAUUGUGUGCUUAUUUGUUGAUAAAAGAUCAACCAUCGAAGACCACGUCAUUAUUCACUACCAGAUCGAUUACGGC